Long non-coding RNA from Mustela erminea (ermine), 115 nucleotides. RefSeq lists it as uncharacterized. The record is from RefSeq and is a predicted model, not a curated record. Lineage: Eukaryota; Metazoa; Chordata; Mammalia; Carnivora; Mustelidae. The transcript has 3 exons.
UCUUUGUUUUAAUAUCAAGGACAUUUGUAAACUGAGGGAGACUCUUGUCUUGCAGGAUUGUCAUUUCUACAAGUUAACUAUAUGUUUUUCCUUUCCUUAGCUUUGGGGCAGUCAG